AGUGAACGCUGGCGGUAGGCCUAACACAUGCAAGUCGAACGGCAGCACAGUAAGAGCUUGCUCUUACGGGUGGCGAGUGGCGGACGGGUGAGGAAUACAUCGGAAUCUACUUUUUCGUGGGGGAUAACGUAGGGAAUCUUACGCUAAUACCGCAUACGACCUACGGGUGAAAGCAGGGGAUCUUCGGACCUUGCGCGAUUGAAUGAGCCGGUGUCGGAUUAGCUAGUUGGCGGGGUAAAGGCCCACCAAGGCGACGAUCCGUAGCUGGUCUGAGAGGAUGAUCGGCCAAACUGGAACUGGGACAGGGCCCAGACCCCUAGGGAGGGCGGCGGGGGGAAAUAUUGACAAUGGGCGAAAGCCUGAUCCAGCCAUGCCGCGUGGGUGAAGAAGGUCUUCGGAUUUUAAAGCACUUUUUGUUGGGAAGAAAAGCAGGAAGUUAAUACCCCGCUGUUUUGACGUUACCCAAAGAAUAAGCCCCGGCUAACUUCGUG
This 491-nucleotide ribosomal RNA is filed under the name uncultured bacterium. RNAcentral describes it as "partial 16S ribosomal RNA". It matches the Rfam family "Bacterial small subunit ribosomal RNA", at positions 29 to 507 of the family's 1533-position model. The record is from RNAcentral.